GUGCCAGCCGCCGCGGUAAUACCGGCAGCCCAAGUGAUGUCCCAUCUUAUUGGGCCUAAAGCGUCCGUAGCUGGCUGACCAAGUCUACCGGGAAAUCCACCCGCUCAACGGGUGGGCGUCCGGUAGAAACAGGCCGGCUUGGGACCGGAAGGCUCAGAGAGUACGUCCGGGGUAGGAGUGAAAUCCCGUAAUCCCGGACGGACUACCGAUGGCGAAAGCACUCUGAGAAGACGGCUUCGACAGUGAGGGACGAAAGCUCGGGUCUCGAACCGGAUUAGAAACCCCUGUAGUCC
This 293-nucleotide ribosomal RNA is filed under the name uncultured bacterium. RNAcentral describes it as "partial 16S ribosomal RNA". It matches the Rfam family "Archaeal small subunit ribosomal RNA", at positions 455 to 747 of the family's 1478-position model. The record is from RNAcentral.